Molecule: unclassified non-coding RNA, 381 nt
Filed under: Hevea brasiliensis (rubber tree)
Lineage: Eukaryota; Viridiplantae; Streptophyta; Magnoliopsida; Malpighiales; Euphorbiaceae
Source: RNAcentral
AGUGAGACCCAGGACUAUUCAAAUUGGGCAUCUGUGUGAAGAUAUUUGUAAUUUCAUUAGCUGAAAAUUAAUUUAAAUUUAGGUGCUAUGUUAUAGGAUAUUGCUUGAAGGAAUGUAAAAAUCUGUACAGUCUAUGAAUUUUGCCCAACAUUACUGGUCUGUGUGAUUGUUAGUUAUGUUUUACAUAUCAAUACUGUUCCCUUCUCUGAUGGAGAAUAUCUUCACGUGAUCUAGUUGUGGCCCAAAUUGGGGUUCUAUCUUUAACAAUGUGGGUGAUUGGCGAUGGUUUGAGUUAAAGAAAUAAGUCUUACAUAUAACUUUAUUUGGCUCAUCUGACACAUGAAUUGGGGCUUUUUUAUGCAUUUGUCCAAAUUAAGUUAA